This 408-nucleotide ribosomal RNA is filed under the name uncultured bacterium. Its description in RNAcentral is "partial 16S ribosomal RNA". It matches the Rfam family "Bacterial small subunit ribosomal RNA", at positions 28 to 526 of the family's 1533-position model. The record is from RNAcentral.
GACGAACGCUGGCGGCGUGCUUAACACAUGCAAGUCGAACGAAGUGGCGAACGGGUGAGUAAUACGUGGGUAACCUGCCCUCAUUUUUGGGAUAAGCCUUGGAAACGGGGUCUACUACCGAAUAAAGGGGGAUGGGCUGGAGGCCUAUCAGCUUGUUGGUGGGGUGAUGGACUACCAAGGCGGUGACGGGUAGCCGGCCUGAGAGGGGUGCCGGGCACAUGAGGACUGGGAUACGGCCCAGAGGCCUACGGGAGGGGGCAGUGGGGGAUAUUGCGCAAUGGGCGAAAGCCGGAUGCAGCGACGCCUCGUGGGGGAUGAAGGCGUUCGGGUUGUAAACCGCUUACGCUAUCAAACGGGUAGGUGGAGAAAAAGCGCCGGCUAACUACGUGCCAGCAACCGCGGUAAUUC